AUGCUGCAGUUACAAAUUUCCUGCCUGAUCUUCGUAAUCAGAUGCUCCAGAAAGAACUACAAGAUUGUCGCCUCCCCGGAUGGUUCCUCCAGCUCUGACGUUUGUAGAAUCAAAGCUUUCGCUAUCCAGUCAUCACUCCCCACACGCAGGGAGCACAGAUGUUGUGUGGUUAGGAUCCUGGCCUUUUAUAAUUCCUUGGCAUUAGGAAUGGAUAAAAGGGAAAGCAAAAGUAUCAUGGGAUUGUGUGACUUUUGCUAAUAUUUUACUGGAAGUUAACUGCUUAUCCUUUGUCUGAGGGAAUUGAAUGAUCCACAGCCAUUCAGAGGCGCGAGGAGUGCCCAGUUAUAGUGAUGCAAACACUAUGAUGACAUUUCCUUCAAAGAAAUCUGUAAGUCUGUUUCUGUUUAAUUCUAUCAGCUAUUUUCGGUAAUAUUACGACUUAAACAUUUAGAUAUUUAUUGCAUGUGCCAUAAAUAUAUAUUGGUUGAAUUUCUGAACCUAAACUUGUGGUCAAGUGCUAAAAUCAAUAGGAUAUUAUUGACAUGAUGGCUGCAGAACUAUCUAUGAUAUACCAACAGGUCUGACUUUUGAAAGGAGAUAUGAACAUGUCCUCAGAAUAUUUUACAAGCAGAGAAAUUCAUAUAAAUACAAGGGAGUCCUUGCCCUCCCCUUUAUUGUAUAAAAAUGGAAUUAGCAAAUGAAGUACUUUUAUACGUAAUACAUUUGUAACAUAUAAAUGUAUAUAUAAUGCUACUAGGUUUUUCUAAGCACCAAGCAUGACAGCCAGCUGCAACCAGUAAAGUUGUGCAAACAUGAGCUCAAAGGACAAGAUCAGAAAGUGUCCCAGGAAACGUUGUUUCCUUUUUGAGAGAGCUGUGCACCAGUCAUGCACAGGGUACAUGACCCGAAAAGGGUUAAAUGAUGAGACCAUCAUUCUUUCAAAGCUGUUUUCCAUGAAUCUCUCUCUCUUUUUUUUUUUUUUUUUUGCUUUUUAGGGCCGUACCCAUGGCAUAUGGAAGUUCCCAGGCUAGGGGGCCAAUUGGAGCUACAGCUGCCUGCCUACGCCAGAGCCACAGCAAUGCCAGAUCCAAGCCGCGUCUGCGAACUACACCACAAGUCACGGCAACACCAGAUCCUUAACUCACUGUUGGAGGCCAGGGAUCAAACCCGCAACCUCAUGGAUUCUAGUCAGAUUCGUUUCUGCUGUGCCAGGAAUCUCCUUAUUUUCAAACAGUUUGGCACUGUGUGACUCUUUCAAUAUGUGCAAGUCAAGACAUGAUCCAGGAAGUCUACCAAAAUGUUUAUACUAUUUAUUUAGCCUGUAGCCAGUCUUCCAAGGCAUUUACAAAGUGCUAUAAAUUCUUUAGAGGAUACCAAAAAUGAAAAACUUACAGGAAAGUUGUAGAAAAGGAUUAAAAUAUGCCAUAAAUAUUAGUUUCAUAUCUCUUAAAAAACCUGUUUUACCCUAGUCAUGUCACCUAACUUUGAAUUUGAAUUCAGACUUGGGUGCAAACAAUCAGUUUUUAUACUUCAAAACGUAAUCAUUUUUUAUGGCUACAGGAAAAUUAUUGUAAUGGGAAGAAUUUCUGAUAUGGGAGAAAAUUACUGCCAUUGUAAUAGUCUUAUUUGGAUUUAAGAGAUACCGAAGUUUAGGCUCUGUUCUUGACUUGUAUUUGGUUUAAACUCUUUACAUCUUUUAUAAAUAUCUUCAUGUAUAAAAUGGAAAAAGUAGUAAUUUCAACUUGUCUUUUGGAGCUCUUGUAAAAAUUAAUAAAAUAAAAAGUAGAAAAAUCA
Molecule: long non-coding RNA, 1794 nt
Filed under: Sus scrofa (pig)
Lineage: Eukaryota; Metazoa; Chordata; Mammalia; Artiodactyla; Suidae
Description: lncRNA (ENSSSCG00030028623.1)
Source: RNAcentral